This 920-nucleotide ribosomal RNA is filed under the name Lactiplantibacillus pentosus. RNAcentral describes it as "bacterial SSU rRNA". It matches the Rfam family "Bacterial small subunit ribosomal RNA", at positions 518 to 1440 of the family's 1533-position model. Lineage: Bacteria; Bacillati; Bacillota; Bacilli; Lactobacillales; Lactobacillaceae. The record is from RNAcentral.
CGGUAAUACGUAGGUGGCAGCGUGUCCGGAUUUAUUGGGCGUAAAGCGAGCGCAGGCGGUUUUUUAAGUCUGAUGUGAAAGCUUUCGGCUCAACCGAAGAAGUGCAUCGGAAACUGGGAAACUUGAGUGCAGAAGAGGACAGUGGAACUCCAUGUGUAGCGGUGAAAUGCGUAGAUAUAUGGAAGAACACCAGUGGCGAAGGCGGCUGUCUGGUCUGUAACUGACGCUGAGGCUCGAAAGUAUGGGUAGCAAACAGGAUUAGAUACCCUGGUAGUCCAUACCGUAAACGAUGAAUGCUAAGUGUUGGAGGGUUUCCGCCCUUCAGUGCUGCAGCUAACGCAUUAAGCAUUCCGCCUGGGGAGUACGGCCGCAAGGCUGAAACUCAAAGGAAUUGACGGGGGCCCGCACAAGCGGUGGAGCAUGUGGUUUAAUUCGAAGCUACGCGAAGAACCUUACCAGGUCUUGACAUACUAUGCAAAUCUAAGAGAUUAGACGUUCCCUUCGGGGACAUGGAUACAGGUGGUGCAUGGUUGUCGUCAGCUCGUGUCGUGAGAUGUUGGGUUAAGUCCCGCAACGAGCGCAACCCUUAUUAUCAGUUGCCAGCAUUAAGUUGGGCACUCUGGUGAGACUGCCGGUGACAAACCGGAGGAAGGUGGGGAUGACGUCAAAUCAUCAUGCCCCUUAUGACCUGGGCUACACACGUGCUACAAUGGAUGGUACAACGAGUUGCGAACUCGCGAGAGUAAGCUAAUCUCUUAAAGCCAUUCUCAGUUCGGAUUGUAGGCUGCAACUCGCCUACAUGAAGUCGGAAUCGCUAGUAAUCGCGGAUCAGCAUGCCGCGGUGAAUACGUUCCCGGGCCUUGUACACACCGCCCGUCACACCAUGAGAGUUUGUAACACCCAAAGUCGGUGGGGUAACC